CUAAAAACUUCAAUGGUAAAUAUGAACACUAAAGGUGAUUUCUAUUUAAAGAAACAGCAAACAUUAUGAAGUUAUUUAAAAAAGGAAAAUUGUUUCAUGGGGCUGGACGCAAUUCUACAAUAUGAGGUCGGUAUAAAGCAUCCCAUCUUAAAGAUGGAUGUCAAUAGGUGAUCCAUCUAAAACCAAUUGUAAUUAAUGGUCCAAAUGUUUUUUAAUUUAAUUAUUAUUUUUAGUCUUCAAUUUUUUUUUUCAUCUCCAUGUUAAAGAUCAUAUAUUCUUUAAAAAUCAAAUUAUAUUUAGAAUAUAUAUUUAUUGCCUAGCCCGCAUUUAAUAAGAUGAUUA
RNAcentral lists this long non-coding RNA (342 nucleotides) under Amborella trichopoda. Its description in RNAcentral is "long non-coding RNA (ATRI_LNC001072)". The record is from RNAcentral. Lineage: Eukaryota; Viridiplantae; Streptophyta; Magnoliopsida; Amborellales; Amborellaceae.